CUCCCUGAAAUGCAGGAAUCUUGCCCACAGCUGUCCCUGGGCGGGCUUGAACCAGCAUCCUUCUGGUUAACAGCCAGAAGCACUGACCCAUUGUUCCCCAAGGUGACAACACAUUCCUGCUGUAGUUAUAGUACAGCACACAUAGCAGCACCGUGCUAUGCUUGUUUACUCCUGAGUAAGCUCCAUGCUCCCAAAUAGCCAUGCUUUAAGAAUGAAACUUUAUUUUAGACAGCAGCUGUUCAUCUUAUUUGUGGCAUCGCACAUUCUCUGCCAUGUCUGCCAAAGAAACCCAGGGAUGGUAUCACAGAGCUUAUACCCUUUUGACAUGGCCACAGGUGUGGUCUAUUGGGCUCUUCUGUCACUGUAAAGGUAAAGGUAAAGGGACCCCUGACCAUUAGGUCCAGUCGUGACCGACUCUGGGGUUGCAGUGCUUAUCUUGCUUUAUUGGCCGAGGGAGCCGGCUUACAGCUUCCGGGUCAUGUGGCCAGCAUGACUAAACCGCUUCUGGCGAACCAGAGGAGCGCACAGAAACGCCGUUUACCUUCCCGCCGGAGCGGUACCUAUUUAUCUACUUGCACUUGACAUGCCUUUGAACUGCUAGGUUGGCAGGAGCAGGGACCGAGCAACGGGAGCUCACCCCGUUGUGGGGAUUCGAACUGCCGACCUUCUGAUCGGCAAGUCCUAGGCUCUGUGGUUUAACCCACAACGCCACCCGCGUCCCUCUUCUGUCACUGUAUUUGAACUGAAAGCGUGCCAUAGAAUGUCCCACCCAUGGUAGUAGACUAUGAGAUGUUGCAACAACAGGAAGAGGGCUAUCGACUUUAUUCCUCACUUGUGGGUCUUCCAGAGACAUCUGAUUUGCCAUUGUAGGAAACUAGAUGCUGGACCUUUUGCCCGAUCCAGCAGGUUUCUCCUCAAUGCGCUUUCAGUGACGCUCACCCUCCGGUGAUUAGCAUUCUGUAAAUUUCCAAAGAACUCUGAUGUGCAGGAGAAUGUGGUUAUUGGAAACACUCUGCCCCUUCGCCUUCACUUUCUUGGUUAAGUUCACAAAGGACUUGCAUGACCUGGAGAACUUUAUCCCUGUCUUUCAUCUAUUAACUUGUGCUUUACAUGUGUUGAAGCAGUCAAACAGAUGGCACGAUGCAUCUGAUCAGGCAGAGGGAAGACCAUCGCAAACCCAAACGGCAUUUUCAGUUUCUCCCACUAGAUGGCUUCAGCAAGCCACGGUUUUUUGGGAAGCGAUUUUAUAGCCUCCCUCCUAAGUGGCUUUAGCAAUAGGAAGAUGAUAUACGUGACCAACAUCUUAACGAGGCACACACUUGACUCUUCCGCCAUCCGACAGUAACCCUAGGAAAUGGAUCCUUUCCUAUUUGAACCAGCAAAGAUGUAGUCCAUGGGUAGGCAAACUAAGGCCUGGGGGCUGGAUCCGGCCCAUGGAUGGUCUGGGAAUCAGCGUGUUUACGAGUAGAAUGUGUCAUUUUAUUUAAAAUGCAUCUCUGGGUUAUUUGUGGGGCAAAGGAAUUCGUUCAUCCCCCCCCCAAAAAAAUAGUCUGGCCCCCCACAAGGUCUGAGGGACAGUUGACCGGCUCCCUGCUGAAAAAGUUUGCUGACCCCUGUAGUCAGAGUGAAUUUGGGACAGAUUAGGUUUCUUUCUGCACAGUUCCUACUUCCUUGCAUCUAGUCAAGAAAACAACACUCCUCUAGUAUAGCAAUCCAACACUUUGUUCUUGUUGCUGCUUAAUGUUAAAUAAAACCACUUUAAAUCUGGGUACAAAUGAGAAACAACAUCUGGAUGCCUGCUCCAAUCAUGUACAAAAGAGCGGCUGGGGUGUACAUGUCUGAUUUUAAAAGCAAAAGGCAUGAGGAAUGCCAAAAUCAUGCCUGGAGAUUAUUUUCCUUUAAACUGGACCCCAGCCUGAGCAAUGAGCAGAGAAUGUAGCUUAGGAGCAGAGCACAUGCGUUGCAGGGGGGUCCUGGAAACCUCCAGGUUAAAAUGUGCCGGAAAGAGCUGUGGCAGCACCAGACUUAGGGCACAGGGUGCCGAGCUGAGAUGCAAAAUAAAAAAUAGCUACAUUUAUACAGGUACCUACUCAAUUACAGACAUCCCCUCAUUUGCACAUGUUCAAUACUGUAUGUGCACGACCACGCAUAUGUGUAUUGCAUCAAACCUGGAAUUGACCCAAUGGAAUGUGGGUUAGAACGGGGUGUUUGCAGGUUUUUCCAACUGUGUUUCAAAUAUCUGUGAUUUCACUUAAACACGCAGUGCUUUAAAAUGUAACUCCUACAUAAAUUGGAAGUUGUCUGUAUUGUGAAAAUAAGAAAUAUGGGGGGAGGGGUGGCACCAAAUUUUGUCCUUGCUCAGGGAGCCAGAUUACCAAAAUUGGAAGAUACCUCUGCAUGAUGCCCUGGGAAACCACUGCCAGUAAGGACAAUUGUGGAACCUUCAAUGUGGGGUUCCCUAGGGCUCAAUCCUAUCCCGUAGGUUGUUUAACAUCUACAUGAAACCACUGGGUGGGGUUAUCCAGAGGUUUGGAGUACAUGGUCAGCAGUAUGCUGAUGACACUUGGCUCUAUUUCUGCUUUACAUCUGCAGGUGAGGCAGUGGAAGCGCUGGACCAGUGUCUUGCCUUGGAAAUGGACUGGAUGGGAGCCAACAAACUGAAACUCAAUCCAGAUAAGACUGAAGCCCCAUUCCUGGAUGGUUCCCUUGACUGGAUGGGAGGCAGAUUGCCUGCUCUUGAUGGGGUUACACUUCUUCUGAAGGAGCAGGUUCGUAGCUUGCAGGUACUCCUGGAUCCUUUGCUGUUGCUCAAAGCUCAGGCGGCCUCAGUGGCCUGGAGUGCCUUUCAUUAGCUUCGGCUGGUGGCCCAGCUGCGCCCCUUUCUGGACAGGGAUAGCCUAACUUUUGUUGUCUAUGCUCUGGUAACCUCAAGGUUAGAUUACUGCAGUGCAUUAUACGUAGGGCUGCCUCUGAAGAUGGUUUGGAAACUUCAGCUAGUGCAGAAUUCAGUGGCCAGGUUGCUCACUGGAGCAAGACAGUCUGAGCCUAUCACACCGAUCCUGGUCCAACCGCACUGGAUACCAAUUAGCUUCCGGGUCCAAUUCAAAGUGCUGGUUUUGACUUAUAAAGCCUUAAACAGCUCCGGACUGCAAUACCUCAAGGACCACCUCUUUUCAUAUGAACCGACCUGGACCCUGAGACCUUCUUCGUGUGUUUCCUCAAGAGGUCCCCCUCUGUGGAAUGCUCUCCCCAGGAAAGUUCGCCUGGCACCCUCAUUAUACACCUUUAGGUGCCGGUCAAAAAUGUUUCUUUUUAACCAGGUCUUUGGUUGAUUUGAUUGACAUCCUAUGCCCUUUUAAAAUGUGGGCGGGAUUUUUGGGUGGGGGUUAUUGGGUUGUUUUAUUUUGAUUAUGUCUUUCGUGGUUUUUUAUUUUGAUUUUAUUCUGUGAAACGCCCUGAGACCUGCUGGUGCAGGGUGGUAUAUAAAUUCAAUCAAUCAAUCAAUUAAUCAAAAUAAUAAAUAGUAACAAUAAUUGUGAAUUAGUUCUGUUCCUAAUAACAGGCAGCCUGUAGUCAAGAGAGGACUGGAAGGGGCUUACUUUUAAUGACGGAGGGAACAUUUCUCUGUCGUUAGAAAGCAUCCUUGCCUGAAACUCUGGAAAGUUGUUUCCAGUUCUAGGCAAGAGCCAAUUCUGCUGUGUGCCUCUGCAAGAGCAAGUGAGCGAUCCAAUCCCCUGUGCGCCACUGAGGGUUUUCUCUCUCCAGAAUUCCAUGAAUCUAGAGAAAGAAAUGGGAGAGCUACCCACUGUUCUGAGAGGCAGCAGGCUGCCUCUUCUGUGGGUACACAGAUUUCCAAUAUUUAUUUCGUGCCGUCCACCUCCAGUGCUCCCCGCAGCACGUUCAGCAGGCAGGGAUGAUGGCACAUCACCACAUUGCAGCCCGAGAUGCAACGGGAUUCCAAUCUGCAUGCUCUGGGAGUGCCUGAAGAGUUCUUGGAAAGAAAAAGGGCCUGUUUGAAAAGGGCCUACCAUUGUCGGAAUCAAGCACUAUGUGUAGGCCGCUCCAAUAGAAAGCAGGCAUUUGCUCAGAAAUUUAAAAGCAUAAACAGAGUGACUUAUGAAGGG
Non-coding RNA from Podarcis lilfordi (Lilford's wall lizard), 4124 nucleotides. Lineage: Eukaryota; Metazoa; Chordata; Lepidosauria; Squamata; Lacertidae. The record is from the annotation of a GenBank genome assembly.